GCAUCCCCCUUUCCACAUGGCAAGAGGUAGUGGUGAUUUGUCUUCAAGAGCGAAGAACGAGAAGAAGAAGAAGAAGGUCGCAAAUUAAGAAGUUGUCUUGCAGUCCAGAUCAAGGUGUUGAUCUAAAUUUUGAGGCUCAAAUUCUACUUGGAGAAGAAGAAUCAACAAUGAGGAGAUCAGUUUGAGAUUGAUCUCGAUGAAUAUCCAUAA
RNAcentral lists this long non-coding RNA (210 nucleotides) under Elaeis guineensis (African oil palm). Its description in RNAcentral is "long non-coding RNA (EGUI_LNC057484)". The record is from RNAcentral. Lineage: Eukaryota; Viridiplantae; Streptophyta; Magnoliopsida; Arecales; Arecaceae.